Long non-coding RNA from Cavia porcellus (domestic guinea pig), 2478 nucleotides. RefSeq lists it as uncharacterized. The record is from RefSeq and is a predicted model, not a curated record. Lineage: Eukaryota; Metazoa; Chordata; Mammalia; Rodentia; Caviidae. The transcript has 3 exons.
AUACCCGCCCUUGGCAGCCUUGUGCUCCCAAAGUUUGUCGCGAGAUCACGUCUCUGAAGGAGAUUGUGGGAGGGGCUAAGGGCUGGUUGAAUGAACUCCUCAUCAGUGCUGUGUGCUGGAGAGGACAAACAGGACCCUGUCUAAUGGAGCUUCGAUUUUUGCGAGGAGGGAGACAUAGAGCUGGCACAUGCAAAUUUCUGCUUGUGAGGUAAUUUGAAGGAAAUCCUUGAAACAUCCUGAGUGCCAAGUGAGUAUUAAAUUCUACUUCCUCGUUCCCCCAAGAAAACAGCAACCUCAGAAUUAUGUCAGACCUAUCAGCAGAAUCCAGAAAUGUCUACUGGGCCUGACAAUUUAAGAGUGAUUGUGAGAAAGUGUCCAAGAGACAGCAGGGAGGAUUAUACAGCGGAGACCACCUCUCAGAUGAGAGAUUUAGAAAAGCCACCACCCACCUUUGCCCUUGGGUUGUUCAGCUGGGCACAGAGGAACAAGGAGCAUUUUAAUUUACACUCAGAGAUACAGCUCAGUGAGCUGAGGUACAGAGCACAGCAGAUGAGCUACAGUUGUUGUCCACCUAGAGGCAAAGCGGGGCUUAUGCCCUCAAGGUCUUUCCCAUCUGGUUCUCCACCCUGUAACCUGGUUUGGACACUGAACCAUAAAUAGCUGCUGUAUCUGUGAGAAAUUUCUGGAAGGUCUUUUCCCAACUGAUGAACAAGUAUUCAGAUGCCUUCGUGCUGAAGAAUGGUGAACUGGGAACUCCAGAGCCCUGAGGAGCCAGCUGGUCCUCUUGGUGCUUUAGUAUAUCUUCUGUUAUAUGUGACAUUAGCAGCUUGUGGCAGCAAGCAGUGCUUACCUGGGACUUACUAUGUGACAGAUACUGCAAACAUACUACUCCCAGCAAUGGAGGUAAUACUGAGGUAGGUGCUGCCAUCUCUGUGUUACUGAGGAGGAAGUGAGUCACUGUGCUGGUGAUACAGUGCUGGGGUCUGGAUCCAGGCACGGAGCACAGUGCCACCUCACUAACUACUAUGUUAUACUAUCUCUUAAAGAUGAUGUGACCAUGACAUGUUAUGACAUUGUGGCCUAUGCAAGUGCUGUCCCUCACAGUCUUUUUAGCUCGUGACUCGACCUGUUCUUCUCUGAGACCCUUAUUUUCUCCACUGGCAAGGAUGUAGUAGUUGACAUCAGAACAAAUCGCCUUUGAGGCUUGUGUAUGGGAUCUGUGGUUUAAAAGUCUCCCCAAAACUCAUGUUGCAAUUUAAUUGCUGCUGUAACAAUAUUAAGAGUUGGGACCUGCCCAGGUGCAAUCGUACACAUCUGGAAUCCCAGCUACUUGGAAGACUGAAGCAGGAGUAUCAUAAGUUUGAGGUCAUCCUGGGCAAUGUAGGGGGACUCUGAAAAAAAGGGAGGCUGGAGAUUUAGCUCAUGGGUGCAUCAUCCCUGGGUUUGAUCCUCAAUUCACAGUGGGGAAAAGGAGGUGAGGCGAUUGGGCUAUGGGAGCUCUGCAUUUCUGAAUGGAUUUAUAUCAUUAUCUCCGGAGUGGGCUGGUUAUGAAAGCAGGUCUGGCAUAAGGGUAGUCCCUUCUUUCCCUCUCUGUUUGUUCAAUGCUCAUUUGUCCUUCUUUGAUGGCAUAAAGGCUCUUGAUAAAUUCUGUGCCACACUAUUGGUCUUUCUGGUCUCCAGAAUCAACUGUGUAGACUGAACUAUCAGUUUCUGCUACUUACAGAGGAAUAGUGCUGUUCUGGCCUGUGGUGUUCUAUUACAGCUGGUGUAAACAGACUAAGACAGUGGGUCUCUAGAAUGUGUGUUGAGUGGGGAUUAAGGGCUUGAAACAAAGACAGAGGAUGUCCAAGAUCAUCCAAGGACUCAGAAAUAAAACCCAACUCCUGACCAGUUGUGUGCUAUGAGCAUUUAUUCAUCUGUUCACCCCAGCCCCUCCCAGCUACCCUUCGGGAGCAGCCUGAUGCAGUGACAUGGGGUGGUGGCCUGCUGGCCUCUUUCUUCUGCUGCCUCCUCCUCAGGAUGUGACCCGGGCCCUGGAACCUAAGGAAGAAGAUCUGAAGGGGCAGCAGUCAUGGAGCCGUGUGAUGGUGUGGAUGGAUGAUGCUCUCCAUGCACCCGAGGCUGAUCUGCCAGGAAGUAGAGGAAGCCACCCAGGGCUGCGACUGCUGUGGCAGUGCUGUGGCUGGAACAGCCAUCUGGAGCGGGGAGAGAGCACCUGAUGAGUGCUGACUUGGCAACUGCAGCCUCUUCUUCAAAACAACUCAUGCCAUCCAUUGUAAAGAAAAUGCUUUUCCAGUGUCACUAGGGUAACCUUCCCAGUGCCAUGUGGGUGAUUGGUGUCCUGUAUGGACCCAUUUUAUUGUAAACUCAUUUCCUAAAAUGUGUUGGACACUUGUUCUGUGAACUGGCUGUUCCACUACUCUCUCUGCUUUUACAAUGUGCUUAUUUACUUUUUAUUAACAAAAAAUGGAAACCAGA